This 5740-nucleotide unclassified non-coding RNA is filed under the name Leishmania donovani. RNAcentral describes it as "gene:LdHU3.34.3120(CDS-product:FtsX-like_permease _family_putative)". The record is from RNAcentral. Lineage: Eukaryota; Euglenozoa; Kinetoplastea; Trypanosomatida; Trypanosomatidae.
UGGCCGGCUCUUAUUUUACCGUGAAGACUCGAAGAUCAAUCAUACACUUGGAUCACGGUCAACAACGGAUUGCUCGCGCCAUCUCUUGCCUUCUUCGUCCUGUUUAGCUGCACAGGCGCUAGCCCCCUCUUCCUACACGCGCACGCGGAAAAAAAAGAGCCACUCCCACCCGCCCGCACACGCGUGUGACAUCAUCUUAUAAGUCUCUGCUAAAGUUCACAUUUUGCUUCAUUGCUUUCACCGCUUACCGUAACCGGGCAUUUUUCUUUUACUCCACCUCACCUCCAACACCUCCAUUCCUUCACGCGACCUCCCCUGCCUUGUAUCUGCUUUCAUUCAUCUUCGGAUUCUUUUUCCAUACGCUUUUUCUUGCCCUCUUCUCCCUCACUCUUUUUCUUAUUGGGGGAGAGGGCUCGUGCGACUAGCCUUCUGCUGCACUGUGCUUGGCUACGCUACUUUUGCCCUCCUCUGCUCCUCUCCUGCACUCCAUUUUGCAAAUUCAUCGCGUGUUGCUUAUUUUCACGUGCUUCGCCUUUGUGUUUGUGCGCGACUCAGCCAACGAGCACGCGCCACCGCUUCAUUCUUUUUGUUUUCGUGGGGUGGCGAGGAGUGGAGAGGCUUGUACUUCGUGGCCUCGCGUAACUGUCAAGUUUUGAUCUGCUUGCAUCUGCGCUUUCUCUUGCCUUUGUUGUUAGGCCUCUGACUUCUGUGUGCGUCUCUUGUGCCGUUUGCUUAGUGAGGAGCACCUGACUCAAGCAGCUCACACCUGUUCGCCCUGUGCAUGGGCAUUCAUCUCCCCACUAUUGGUUACUUUCCCAGACAGCUGAAUCUCCCUCUCCAAGGUCACACGUCUCGAGUUCCUGCAGCCGUAGGGUUCCCCCAGACACCGUCCCCACUCUUACUCUGUGUCCUUGCAUCUGUGAGUAGGUUGCGAAGGAGUAGAGCAAGAGAGUGCUUUUGUUGGGUUGUUUGUGUGCGUCUUUUUUUUGUGCGUGUGUGCGCUUGUUGUGGAACUCCCAGCUUGUUAAGGGUUCAGGCGUUGGCGCAUGUUGUUGCUACCUUCUCUCCCUUUCUCCGACUUGGUUGACGAUUCCUGACUCUAUUGCUUGUUGCUGUUGGCUCGGGUUUUCUUCAUCUCCAUAUCUUGCCUCUCUCACUCAUCCCGGAGAGAGGGCGUAGACGUGCAUGCCAGUUGUGGAGGAGGGCGAGGGAGCGCAUUCACGGCCGACACUCUAUAGACGAGAGUGCAUUGGUGCCCAUCGCAUAGAGGAGUGCGCUGGAGUCCCUGACACCCCUCAUUCACCUCUGCUGUCUCCUCGUGCCGCGAGAGCCUUUCGCUCCGAUUUCAGCUGCUGCUGGGUAGCGGCAGCCAGCGGCGCGAACGCGUUAAACUUCCACCUGGUGUACACAUACAGACACGAAUUCAGAGCAGUACCCAAAUGGCGGCGGCCUCCUCCAACUGCCAAGGUGAGGGCUUGCAGCACUUUCACUCGAGGGGGCGAUCGCCUGCCUCCGAGCAUCUGGAGCUCAGGGAGGGCAUCUAUGACAAUAUCACUGGCCAGGUGAACGUGGUGAAAGAGGUGGAUAAGCUCAGGAAAGUGGGCGCGAUCGAUCGCAUAAACGAGGGUGAGGCUGUCAACAGCAAGUCCCUGCCGUACAGCGAUACAGUCACGCCGUCCAGCAGUGACCCCAACGUACUCAAAUUGCCGGCGCUCCAGCAGAACCGUCGCCUCGCAGUUGAUUUGGCGUUCGACGAUGACGCGCCGUCCGCAUGGGCACUCCUCCGUCGCGUCACGCACAACGUCUGGAUGUCUCUCAAGAUGACGCGGCUCUUUCUCUCUCUGGCGUGGGCGGAUAUCAAGACGCGUACCUGCAGCUACUGCCUCGGGUUCUUCUCUGUGCUCAUCGUUGUACUUCUGUGUGUGCUGAUGAUUUCCAUCCUGGUACACAUGCCGAUUUUGUUUCUCCGUCUUUCCGAGGAGACGCAUGGCGAGUUCGACCUCGUAAUCGGGCCCGGCAGUGUCAUGAGCAAGGCGACGGGCAUCAACUACACAAGAAUCAAAGAGCUGUUUCCGGAAAGCGACCCCAAUUAUGGAUACAGCGCCCCGCGCUUCUUGGACAUGUACAUGGCUCGCACCGCACGCUCCUGCCCUGACAAGAACGUGACGCAGAUGUGGUACAACGCGGACGGAAGUGUGUGCGACGACAUUGAUCUCUGCAUGAAUGGGUGCUUCUCCAACGGCACGGCCGCUGUGGACCUCAUGGCGAUUGACGCAACGGCGGAGGCGCGCAUGGGGUUUGGCAAGGACUACAAUGAGACUACGCUGAACGAAGGAGAGCUGAUCUUGUCGCACCGCGCAGCUGUUCUCAUGGGCGGGGUGGAUGUGGGCGACACGAUAAUCCUCUACGGAGACGCUCAGUUGAACAUUCAAUUCGCGUUCGCCAAUCUGACGCAUAACGAUUCGUCGAACGUCAUGAUGCCGUUCAAGGUCGUAUCCAUCAUUCACGAGUACUACCGCAAGUUCCCGGGUGUCGAUACCUUUGUUGUCGUGUCCUUCCAAACGUUCUUGCGCGAUGUAGCGAAGGGCCUGGCGCCGGGCACGUCCACCGCUGCUGUAGAGGGCGUCGCCAACACGAACCCGAGCGACUGCGCGUCUGCUGUGUACUUCAUCAUGAAUCCGGAGGCCCGACUGAAGGCAUACGGCCUCACAAGCUACAACAGCAUUCGGAGGAACGUGGUGGCGUGGGCUUCGGGGGUACUGUCGUCUCUCGGGUUCAUGCAGGUCAGCCGCUCCACACCGCAGCUGCGCGGCUUGUACGCGACACGGCUGUUCAGCGUCUUCGUUGGGCUAAUCAUGUCCGUCAUCCUCUUGGCGCUGGCGCUCCUCAGCGUUGUGCUGAUCUACACCCUUCUCACGGUCGGAAUCGAGACGAAGACGUAUGAGCUUGGUAUCCAGCGCAUGAUCGGCCUUACGAAGGAGAAUCUGAUCUUUUUGGUUCUCGCCAACGCGUAUGCCUUUACCUUGCCCGCGUGGGUCAUCGGCCUGGCUGCCGGACAAGGCACUUACACGGGGGCUCGGAUCGCUUUCGCGAAGCUCGUAGAGGUCCAGCUGCCCAUGUUGGUCACGAGGGCCUCUCUCGGGUGGGCCACGGUCGCCGGCCUCGGUAUCCCUAUUGUGGCCUCUUUCUUUCCGAUUCUCUCGCUCGUGACGCAGAGGCUUCCCGACGCGAUCAACACCUCGCGCGGCCGCAAUAGUGGCGUCAUAUACAAAAUCCAGCGCGACGACUCGACGCAGUGGAACGGGGCCAUGCUCGUCCUCGGCUUGCUCUUCUUUGCUUUCGGCUUCGUGAUCUACUACCUGUUCCCCACCGCGUUAAUCGCAAUGAACCUGAACUUGAUCUUCUACAUCUUCUUCGGCGUUCUCAUUGGUCUGCUCGCGGGGCUCGUACUGCUCGCGAUGAAUUUCGAGCGGGUGGCGCAGACGUGCAUCAGCUAUUUGCUGCUGUUCUGGGAGAGCAGGGCUGUCUUCUCGUUCAUGCAGAAGAGCCUCAGCGCGCACCGGCGCCGCAACCGAAAGACGUCGUUGAUGUACGCGCUUUCUCUCGCCUUUGUCAUUUUCAUUACGGUGGUGGUGCAGAUCCAGCUCGUGUCCUUCGAAUACUCCUCUCGCCAGCGCAUGGGCUGCGAACUGUAUGUAGAAACAAAGGGCCUGACAAUGGAAGAGUACUGGACCAUAGAGGAGAUUAUCGAACACCAGAUGGAGACCGGCAUAAUCUCUGCCUACACGUACGACUACAACAGCUCCGCUCUUACGUCCCUGAAAGGCGCGAGAAUCUACUCGAUUGGCCGCGUACGCAGCUCCGUCACAGUCCUAAAACCACUCCCUCCUAACUACUUCGAGGUCAUGGAUAGGACUUACCUGCACGUGGACAACUACCAGAGCAUCGUGGGCCGCUACGGGCUUGUGCGGGCCCUCUACAGUUCUGAAGGCCUCUACAGGGGGAUCUUGUCCUCUGGCGCGGCGGAUACCCUCGGCGUCGGCAGCGCGGACGGCGCCGUUUUGCUCGAGAUAAGAACGGUGCAAAACGCGACCUCAAACGCCGAGGCCGUUCGUCGGGCCACCAUCCGUCCUGUCGCCACGCUCGACACGGCCCCAGCCAUAACUACGUCCAAGUACACCCACGCACAAGGUGACAUCGUGCUGAGUAUCCCUGGACUCUUCCGGCAUCUUAACGAGUCGCGCGUAAGCGUCUUGAACGGAAACGUGGAGAAAAUUCGGCUGCGCAUGAGUGACCCGAACUGGUACGACUUCAUCGGUGACCUGCUGACCGGGAGCAUUGCCGCGGUGGGUCACACAGUGACUGUGACGAACAUUAGGGAUGCGACGAGCGACAUGGCCACGGCCGGCAAAGUGCUGAAUCUCUUCUUCAUUGUGGCCGAGAUAAUGAUUUUGGUCAUUUGCUUCUUUUCUCUGAUGAGCAGCAUGACGACAAACGUGCUCGACUCCUCCAAGGAGAUCGGCGUGCUGCUGUGCUUGGGCAUGUCCCAUUUCCAGGUGUACCGCGUGUACGUCUGGGAGGCCUUUGUCUUGGUCGUUUCGUCUGGCGUCAUGGGCCUCAUCGUCGGCCUUGUUGUUGCCUACACGAUGCAGCUGCAGAACAUCCUGUUCACGCAGCUGCCUCUGCCAUUCCCUUUUCCGUACAUCCAGCUGGCCAUUUUGGUCGUCAUGGGUCUUGUUUCAGCGCUGGCGUCCAGCAUCAGCCCGGUGGCGUACCUUUUAGGUCUUCCUUCUGUCACACACAUCCUGCGUCGUACCAUUCACUGAGAAGUCUUUGACACAUUAAUUUGGUAGGUAUCCGGAACAGGGGGGCUCGCAUACCCGCCUAAAGAGGCGUGCACGCUCACGGAUAGGGCCCUGCAUCCCUUUGCUCUUCCUCCCCGUUCUGCCACUUGUUGCACCCCUUCCCCUUCCCAUUGUCACCAGCCUGUUCCUCUCAAGGAUGCUGGUGUCAAGGAUGCACUAACAGGGCGAGUGGGGCGAUUCAAUGCGGAACUUUUGUUUUGUGUGUGUGCCAGCGUGUAUGAUUAGAGAAAACCAAUCAUGAGGCUCUCCGCCGCGUUGGCCGGCCACGAUGCCAGCGUCCAUUUUUGCAGGUGCCGUUUGCCACCAUCGCCGCCGCGCAGCCGGUCCCCUUUUCUCCCGUCCACAUUCAGAACGCCCUUUCUUUCACGUGCAUUAGGCAGGGCAUAUGUGUGCGGCCAUACUCUCCUCUUCUGGUCGAACAGGUUCUAGCAGACAGCGUCCGCUGGCACUGAUUUCAUUUCUUUGUGUGUGUGUGUGUGUGUGUAUGUGUGUUUUAUUAUUAUGUUUGGCGCAUUUUUUUUUCAUUAUUUCGUGUGUGCGUGCGUGUGACACUUUUCUGUGCGUCAUCGCUAUGUUCGCGUAUGCUGAUGUCUUUUACGAGUGUGUUGCUUGUCCCGGCAACACGCCCCAAUCGCCGCGUUUUGGUGUGUUAACACUUGAUAUUUGUGGACUCUGCCCCCCCCUCCUCCGUCCUCCUCCUCCCUCCCCACCAACCCUCUUCCUCAUUCCUUUCGUUCGUUCCCUUUUGUAUAUUUGUUCUCUGUCUUCACUUUUGUGGGAGUGAUGCUGUUGUAGUGGUGCUCUUGAUUGCGGGAAACCCAAACGAGCAGAAGGGGAGCCGAGUUCCUCACCAACCCCCCCCACACACACCAAAG